This 99-nucleotide non-coding RNA is filed under the name Paenibacillus ferrarius. Its description in RNAcentral is "TPP sequence". It matches the Rfam family "TPP riboswitch aptamer (THI element)". From Rfam's summary of the family: Vitamin B(1) in its active form thiamin pyrophosphate (TPP) is an essential coenzyme that is synthesised by coupling of pyrimidine and thiazole moieties in bacteria. Lineage: Bacteria; Bacillati; Bacillota; Bacilli; Caryophanales; Paenibacillaceae. The record is from Rfam by way of RNAcentral.
AAGUAUCCCUAGGGGCGCCGCAAGGCUGAGACAGAGUCAUCUGAACCCUUUGAACCUGAACUGGGUCAUACCAGCGGAGGAAAGUGGAAAACGAACAUC